RNAcentral lists this ribosomal RNA (405 nucleotides) under Triticum aestivum (bread wheat). Its description in RNAcentral is "partial small subunit ribosomal RNA". Lineage: Eukaryota; Viridiplantae; Streptophyta; Magnoliopsida; Poales; Poaceae. The record is from RNAcentral.
AUGGCCGGCGGUGGCGUGGACCGGCUGUCCUCGCUCCCCAACGACCUCCUCCGCCGCAUCCGCAUCCUCCACUUCGCCCCACUUAAGGAGGCAGCCUCCACAACCGCGCUCUCCCGGCGUUGGCAGGAGUCGCUCUGGCUCUCCUUCGGCGCGGUAAACCUCGAGGCAGGGGUGGUCGAGAAAAAGAAACACCGCCGACGACAAAGGGCAGAAGCACGACAACGCCAACGCCCAUGCCCGCUUCUUCUCCGGGAGCGACGACUUCGUCUCGGCGGCCACGGGGGCGCUCGACGCCGCCGUCGUCCCCGUCACGAGGCUCAGUUUAAUUACCUGGUUUUCAUGAGAAAAUCGGCUAUUUGCCACUUUCAAUACAGGGCUUCGCAAAAUUGCCACUCUCAACAUUAG